UGAGUUGUGAGGACUGCUACCCUGAGAACACUGAGUGCAUUCUGGAAUAUUCCAAAUGUGUGCCACUUCCAUACAAAAGAAGUUUUGAAUCCUGCAAGAGAGUUCACUCACCAGUGGGCUCCAUCAACAGACCAGGGCAAAGUCGGUCUUUCCUGCUACUACUACAUGCUACUUGACUAUGUCUGGAAGCCAUGGCUGCUGCCCUCAACAUGCUAAACUGAAACCCUCACAAAUAAAGUCACAAAUCAAGAAUUAACAUUGACGGUGAUGGUGGCAAGGGUGCCUUCAUAAGAUGCCAUCCAGCAAGUCCCAGCCUGGAGCCAGAGGCUGGCACUGCACGUCAGAUGGGGGAGGAUCUAUGUUAGGCAUCAGAAAGGUGCUUUAAGCAAGAAGGCAAGAGCUUCUGCAGACAGUGUUGCAAUUAGACACCUGACUUUAACUGCCAAAGGGACCAUCAGAGCACCUCUCCCUACCCUGCCGGACAUCUAUACCAGAAGAGUACGGAUAAGGGCCCAAAAUGUUUUAAAGGACAUUUCACGCCCAGACCAUGGACUGUUUAAACCACUGAGGUCAAGCAGAAGUCUCUGUUCUCACUUGAGGCAGAUUAUUGAGAGGGGGCGAGUGUCACUG
Long non-coding RNA from Alosa sapidissima (American shad), 630 nucleotides. RefSeq lists it as uncharacterized. The record is from RefSeq and is a predicted model, not a curated record. The transcript has 5 exons. NCBI's taxonomy places the organism in Eukaryota, Metazoa, Chordata, Actinopteri, Clupeiformes, Clupeidae.